GACGAACGCUGGCGGCGUGCUUAACACAUGCAAGUCGAACGGUAAGGCCCUUCGGGGUACACGAGUGGCGAACGGGUGAGUAACACGCGGGUGAUCUGCCCUGCACUUCGGGAUAAGCCUGGGAAACUGGGUCUAAUACCGGAUAGGACUCCUGGCUUCAUGGUUGGGGGUGGAAAGCUUUUGCGGUGUGGGAUGGGCCCGCGGCCUAUCAGCUUGUUGGUGGGGUAAUGGCCUACCAAGGCGACGACGGGUAGCCGGCCUGGGAGGGUGACCGGUCACACUGGGACGGGGAUACGGCCCAGACUCCUACGGGAGGCAGCAGUGGGGAAUAUUGCACAAUGGGCGCAAGGCUGAUGCAGCGACGCCGCGUGAGGGAUGACGUCCUUCGGGUUGUAAACCUCUUUCAGCUAUGACGAAGCGCAAGUGACGGUAGUAGCAGAAGAAGGACCGGCCAACUACGUGCCAGCCGCCGCGGUAA
This 478-nucleotide ribosomal RNA is filed under the name uncultured bacterium. RNAcentral describes it as "partial 16S ribosomal RNA". It matches the Rfam family "Bacterial small subunit ribosomal RNA", at positions 28 to 523 of the family's 1533-position model. The record is from RNAcentral.